CACCAGUGUACUCUCCUACCUGGAUAGUGCCAAGGGAUGCUAUUUACGUCUCCUCACUAUGCUGAAAGCCAUCUUAAAUAAGCAUACCAAGUAAGACCAGUAUGCUUACUAUGGCCUGCAGCUUCACAACAGAUUUUUUGGCUGUUCAUUUCCACUCAGAUGGCUGCUCCUUUGCAGACGGAUGCAAAUUCUGAAACUUGAACAGGCAGUACACACGCGGGAUGAGACGGAUUCGUUGCAUGAGCAGUGAGAAAUUAGCAGAAUUUCUCUCAUGCUGUGGUGUGGGAUGCCCUUGGCAAUCCACUUGGCACUCAUUCAGGCGCAGUGUAUGGGGAAAUAAUUGAUCCACAGAGAAUAGGAGUCAAAGCUUAGGUUGCAGUGUGCUGGUUUCAUCCUAACGAGAGGAAACAUGAGACCUGAAUUUCCACGAGGGGAGACUCAGUGAAGCUAGAAUGCAGGCCCCAAAAAUGGUGGACCAGGGGAACCAACAAGCAAGUCAAACGAAGACAGGCUGUCACAGUGUGAAUCACCACCUGUUGUGUGGAACCAGGUACUCUGACAAUAUCCACUGUGACAUGGGAAGGACAGACAUCAUCGAUGGUAUCAUCAGUGUACAGAGAUUACUGCCCUACUAA
Molecule: long non-coding RNA, 635 nt
Filed under: Felis catus (domestic cat)
Lineage: Eukaryota; Metazoa; Chordata; Mammalia; Carnivora; Felidae
Description: lncRNA (ENSFCAG00000040457.2)
Source: RNAcentral